This is a non-coding RNA of Solanum tuberosum (potato), 107 nucleotides long. Lineage: Eukaryota; Viridiplantae; Streptophyta; Magnoliopsida; Solanales; Solanaceae. The record is from Rfam.
AUGUCAUGAUUUGGGCAUUGAUUGAUCAGUUCAUUAAACCUUGCCCAUGAUUUGUGGAUUUGUUCACCCUUCCCUUGUUUGAAGGUGAGGAUACGAUCCCUGAACAU